RNAcentral lists this ribosomal RNA (253 nucleotides) under uncultured bacterium. RNAcentral's name for it is "partial 16S ribosomal RNA". It matches the Rfam family "Bacterial small subunit ribosomal RNA", at positions 524 to 776 of the family's 1533-position model. The record is from RNAcentral.
GACGAGGGGUCCUAGCGUUGUUCGGAAUCAUUGGGCGUAAAGCGGGUGUAGGUGGCUCUAUAAGUCAGGAGUGAAAGCCCCGAGCUUAACUUGGGAAGUGCUUUUGAUACUGUAGAGCUUGAAUGUGGGAGAGGAUCGUGGAAUUCCAGGUGUAGUGGUGAAAUACGUAGAUAUCUGGAGGAACACCGGUGGCGAAGGCGGCGAUCUGGCCCAACAUUGACACUGAGACCCGAAAGCGUGGGGAUCAAACAGG